RNAcentral lists this ribosomal RNA (301 nucleotides) under uncultured bacterium. RNAcentral describes it as "partial 16S ribosomal RNA". It matches the Rfam family "Bacterial small subunit ribosomal RNA", at positions 509 to 809 of the family's 1533-position model. The record is from RNAcentral.
CAGCAGCCGCGGUAAUACAGAGGGUGCGAGCGUUAAUCGGAUUUACUGGGCGUAAAGCGUGCGUAGGCGGCUUUUUAAGUCGGAUGUGAAAUCCCUGAGCUUAACUUAGGAAUUGCAUUCGAUACUGGGAAGCUAGAGUAUGGCAGAGGGGGGUGGAAUUCCGCGUGUAGCAGUGAAAUGCGUAGAUAUGCGGAGGAACACCGAUGGCGAAGGCAGCCCCCUGGGCCAACACUGACGCUCAUGCACGAAAGCGUGGGGAGCAAACAGGAUUAGAGACCCCGGUAGUCCCUGUCUCUUAUAA